AACGAACGCUGGCGGCAGGCCUAACACAUGCAAGUCGAGCGAGACCUUCGGGUCUAGCGGCGGACGGGUGAGUAACGCGUGGGAAUAUGCCCUUCGGUUCGGAAUAGCCCCGGGAAACUGGGAGUAAUACCGGAUACGGUCUACGGACGAAAGAUUUAUCGCCGAAGGAUUAGCCCGCGUUGGAUUAGGUAGUUGGUGGGGUAAUGGCCUACCAAGCCGACGAUCCAUAGCUGGUUUGAGAGGAUGAUCAGCCACACUGGGACUGAGACACGGCCCAGACUCCUACGGGAGGCAGCAGUGGGGAAUCUUAGACAAUGGGGGAAACCCUGAUCUAGCCAUGCCGCGUGAGCGAUGAAGGCCUUAGGGUUGUAAAGCUCUUUCAGCGGGGAAGAUAAUGACUGUACCCGCAGAAGAAGCCCCGGCUAACUCCGUG
Molecule: ribosomal RNA, 433 nt
Filed under: uncultured bacterium
Lineage: Bacteria
Description: bacterial SSU rRNA
Rfam family: Bacterial small subunit ribosomal RNA
Source: RNAcentral